RNAcentral lists this ribosomal RNA (225 nucleotides) under Triticum aestivum (bread wheat). RNAcentral's name for it is "partial small subunit ribosomal RNA". Lineage: Eukaryota; Viridiplantae; Streptophyta; Magnoliopsida; Poales; Poaceae. The record is from RNAcentral.
AUGGAUCCACACCCAAAAGUGCUAUGCUGGAACGUUCGCGGGCUGAACAAUCCAGCUAAAUGCAAGGCGGUGCGCGAGUUCGUGAGUACAUUAGAUGUUAAUCUCAUUUGUUUUCAAGAGACCAAGAUGGAUGUAAUAGAUAGGUUUACAGUGAUGUAAUGCAUGGGGCCAUCCUUUGAUGGCUUUGCCUACUUGCCGGCGGAGGAGACGCGUGGGGGUGUGUUG